RNAcentral lists this ribosomal RNA (495 nucleotides) under uncultured bacterium. RNAcentral's name for it is "bacterial SSU rRNA". It matches the Rfam family "Bacterial small subunit ribosomal RNA", at positions 28 to 512 of the family's 1533-position model. The record is from RNAcentral.
GAUGAACGCUAGCGGCAGGCUUAAUACAUGCAAGUCGUGGGGCAGCGCAGUGUAGCAAUACAUGGGCGGCGACCGGCAAACGGGUGCGGAACACGUACGCAACCUUCCUUUAAGUGGGGGAUAGCCCAGGGAAACUUGGAUUAAUACCCCGUAAUACUAUGAAGUGGCAUCACUUUAUAAUUAUAGCUCCGGCGCUUAAAGAUGGGCGUGCGCCUGAUUAGGUAGUUGGCGGGGUAACGGCCACCAAGCCUUCGAUCAGUAACUGGUGUGAGAGCACGACCAGUCACACGGGCACUGAGACACGGGCCCGACUCCUACGGGAGGCAGCAGUGGGGAAUCUUGCGCAAUGCGCGAAAGCGUGACGCAGCAACACCGCGUGAGGGAAGACGGCCUUAGGGUUGUAAACCUCUUUCAGAUGGGACGAAGGUGAUGCGGUGAAUAGCCGAUGUCAUUGACGGUACCGUCAGAAGAAGCUCCGGCUAACUACGUGCCAGC